RNAcentral lists this ribosomal RNA (519 nucleotides) under uncultured bacterium. RNAcentral describes it as "bacterial SSU rRNA". It matches the Rfam family "Bacterial small subunit ribosomal RNA", at positions 32 to 507 of the family's 1533-position model. The record is from RNAcentral.
GACGACGCUGGCGGCAUGCCUAACACAUGCAAGUCGAACGGACUUUUAGUGAAUUAACCUUCGGGUUAUGAAGCUUUAAAGUUAGUGGCGGACGGGUGAGUAACGCGUGGAUAACCUACCCAUAGGUUGGGGACAACUCCGGGAAACCGGUGCUAAUACCGAAUAAUAUUUUCGAAACGCAUGUUUUGAAAAUCAAAGGGGGCCUCUCAUAGAAGCUUCUGCCAAUGGAUGGAUCCGCGUCUGAUUAGCUAGUUGGUGGGGUAAUGGCCUACCAAGGCGACGAUCAGUAGCCGGCCUGAGAGGGUGAACGGCCACACUGGGACUGAGACACGGCCCAGACUCCUACGGGAGGCAGCAGUGGGGAAUCUUCCGCAAUGGGCGAAAGCCUGACGGAGCAAUGCCGCGUGAAUGAAGAAGGCCUUCGGGUUGUAAAGUUCUGUUGAGAAGGAAGAAAGAUUUGAGAGCUAAUAUCUCUCAUGUUUGACGGUACUUUUCGAGGAAGCCCCGGCUAACUACGUG